This 467-nucleotide ribosomal RNA is filed under the name Capnocytophaga granulosa. RNAcentral's name for it is "bacterial SSU rRNA". It matches the Rfam family "Bacterial small subunit ribosomal RNA", at positions 28 to 498 of the family's 1533-position model. Lineage: Bacteria; Pseudomonadati; Bacteroidota; Flavobacteriia; Flavobacteriales; Flavobacteriaceae. The record is from RNAcentral.
GAUGAACGCUAGCGGCAGGCCUAACACAUGCAAGUCGAGGGAGAAGCCCUUCGGGGCAGAAACCGGCGCACGGGUGCGUAACGCGUAUGCAACCUACCUUUCACAGGGGGAUAGCCCGAAGAAAUUUGGAUUAAUACCCCAUAAUAUUAUUGGGUGGCAUCAUUUGAUAAUUAAAAUUACGAUGGUGAAAGAUGGGCAUGCGUCCUAUUAGCUAGUUGGAGUGGUAACGGCACCCCAAGGCUACGAUAGGUAGGGGUCCUGAGAGGGAGAUCCCCCACACUGGUACUGAGACAGGGACCAGACUCCUACGGGAGGCAGCAGUGAGGAAUAUUGGUCAAUGGUCGGAAGACUGAACCAGCCAUGCCGCGUGCAGGAAGAAUGCCUUAUGGGUUGUAAACUGCUUUUAUAUGGGAAGAAUAAGGAGUACGUGUACUUUGAUGACGGUACCAUAUGAAUAAGCAUCGGUA